CGGACGGCUGAGUAACACGUGGGUGACCCGCCCUCGAGCGGGGGAUAACUGCCCGAAAGGGUGGCUAAUACCGCAGACAUCGCGCAUUCGUUUGUGCGAUUGAACCUUUGGGGUUCGGGGAGGGGCCCGCGGCCGAUUAGCUAGCUGGUGGGGUGACGGCCUACCAGGGCGACGAUCGGUAGCUGGUCUGAGAGGAUGAUCAGCCAGACUGGGACUGCGAGACGGCCCAG
Molecule: ribosomal RNA, 230 nt
Filed under: uncultured bacterium
Lineage: Bacteria
Description: partial 16S ribosomal RNA
Rfam family: Bacterial small subunit ribosomal RNA
Source: RNAcentral